CGUCUCAGUUCGGACUGUGGUCUGCAACCCGACCACACGAAGCUGGAAUCGCUAGUAAUCGCGAAUCAGAAUGUCGCGGUGAAUACGUUCCCGGGUCUUGUACACACCGCCCGUCACACCAUGGGAGUCAGCAACGCCCGAAGUCAGUGACCUAACCGAAAGGGAGGAGCUGCCAAAGGCGGGGCCGGUAACUGGGGUGAAGUCGUAACAAGGUAAC
RNAcentral lists this ribosomal RNA (217 nucleotides) under uncultured bacterium. RNAcentral describes it as "partial 16S ribosomal RNA". It matches the Rfam family "Bacterial small subunit ribosomal RNA", at positions 1284 to 1500 of the family's 1533-position model. The record is from RNAcentral.